ACAGGGUGACAGCCCCGUACACAAAAAUGCACAUAUUGUGAGCUUGAUGAGUAGGGCGGGACACGUGGUAUCCUGUCUGAAUAUGGGGGGACCAUCCUCCAAGGCUAAAUACUCCUGACUGACCGAUAGUGAACCAGUACCGUGAGGGAAAGGCGAAAAGAACCCCGGCGAGGGGAGUGAAAAAGAACCUGAAACCGUGUACGUACAAGCAGUGGGAGCACGCUUAGGCGUGUGACUGCGUACCUUUUGUAUAAUGGGUCAGCGACUUAUAUUCUGUAGCAAGGUUAACCGAAUAGGGGAGCCGAAGGGAAACCGAGUCUUAACUGGGCGUUAAGUUGCAGGGUAUAGACCCGAAACCCGGUGAUCUAGCCAUGGGCAGGUUGAAGGUUGGGUAACACUAACUGGAGGACCGAACCGACUAAUGUUGAAAAAUUAGCGGAUGACUUGUGGCUGGGGGUGAAAGGCCAAUCAAACCGGGAGAUAGCUGGUUCUCCCCGAAAGCUAUUUAGGUAGCGCCUCGUGAAUUCAUCUCCGGGGGUAGAGCACUGUUUCGGCAAGGGGGUCAUCCCGACUUACCAACCCGAUGCAAACUGCGAAUACCGGAGAAUGUUAUCACGGGAGACACACGGCGGGUGCUAACGUCCGUCGUGAAGAGGGAAACAACCCAGACCGCCAGCUAAGGUCCCAAAGUCAUGGUUAAGUGGGAAACGAUGUGGGAAGGCCCAGACAGCCAGGAUGUUGGCUUAGAAGCAGCCAUCAUUUAAAGAAAGCGUAAUAGCUCACUGGUCGAGUCGGCCUGCGCGGAAGAUGUAACGGGGCUAAACCAU
This 827-nucleotide ribosomal RNA is filed under the name Shigella sonnei. RNAcentral's name for it is "partial 23S ribosomal RNA". It matches the Rfam family "Bacterial large subunit ribosomal RNA", at positions 359 to 1190 of the family's 2925-position model. Lineage: Bacteria; Pseudomonadati; Pseudomonadota; Gammaproteobacteria; Enterobacterales; Enterobacteriaceae. The record is from RNAcentral.